This 415-nucleotide ribosomal RNA is filed under the name Psettodes erumei (Indian spiny turbot). RNAcentral describes it as "partial 16S ribosomal RNA". It matches the Rfam family "Bacterial large subunit ribosomal RNA", at positions 1963 to 2502 of the family's 2925-position model. The record is from RNAcentral. Lineage: Eukaryota; Metazoa; Chordata; Actinopteri; Pleuronectiformes; Psettodidae.
AAUCACUUGUCUUUUAAAUGGAGACCUGUAUGAACGGUAAAACGAGGGCUUAACUGUCUCCUUUUUCUAGUCAAUGAAAUUGAUCCCCCCGUGCAGAAGCGGGGAAACAGACAUAAGACGAGAAGACCCUGUGGAGCUUUAGACGCCAGAGCAGACCAUGUUAAACACCCCAAGCUAAAGGAAUAAACUGAUUGAAUACUGCUCCCAUGUCUUCGGUUGGGGCGACCGUGAGGAAAUUAAAAAACCCUCCACGUGGAAUGGGAGCAACAAUCCCUCGAAGAUCUUUCUCUUCUUUGUCUCCCACAACCAAGAGCCACAGUUCUAAGCAACAGAAUAUCUGACCAAUAGAGAUGCAAAGCCGAUUAACGAACCAAGUUACCCCAGGGAUAACAGCGCAAUCCCCUUCUAGAGCCCA